GAUGAACGCUGGCGGCGUGCCUAAUACAUGCAAGUCGAGCGAACAGACGAGGAGCUUGCUCCUCUGACGUUAGCGGCGGACGGGUGAGUAACACGUGGAUAACCUACCUAUAAGACUGGGAUAACUUCGGGAAACCGGAGCUAAUACCGGAUAAUAUAUUGAACCGCAUGGUUCAAUAGUGAAAGACGGUUUUGCUGUCACUUAUAGAUGGAUCCGCGCCGCAUUAGCUAGUUGGUAAGGUAACGGCUUACCAAGGCAACGAUGCGUAGCCGACCUGAGAGGGUGAUCGGCCACACUGGAACUGAGACACGGUCCAGACUCCUACGGGAGGCAGCAGUAGGGAAUCUUCCGCAAUGGGCGAAAGCUUGACGGAGCAACGCCGCGUGAGUGAUGAAGGUCUUCGGAUCGUAAAACUCUGUUAUUAGGGAAGAACAAAUGUGUAAGUAACUAUGCACGUAUUGACGGUACCUAAUCAGAAAGCCACGGCUAACUACGUG
This 497-nucleotide ribosomal RNA is filed under the name uncultured bacterium. RNAcentral's name for it is "partial 16S ribosomal RNA". It matches the Rfam family "Bacterial small subunit ribosomal RNA", at positions 28 to 507 of the family's 1533-position model. The record is from RNAcentral.